UUUACAGCUUGGUCCCCCCAGUUCAAAAUUUCCAUCUGCGCCCCUGCAUCUAGACGUCAUCUCUUUCAGGGCAGACCCUGCAUUUUUCAACAAGAUACUGCCAGACCACAUUCUGCAGCAAUCACAACAUCAUAGCUACGUAGGAGAAGGAUCGGGGUACUGAAAUGGCCAGCCUGCAGUCCAGAUCUUUUACCUAUAGAGAACAUUUGGCGCAUCAUAAAGAGGAAUGUGCCAACAAAGAAGGCCCAAGAUAAUUGAACAGUUAGAGGCCUGUAUUAGACAUGAAUGGGAGAGCAUUCCUAUUUCUUGAGAAACUUGAGAAACUGGUCUCCUCUGUCCCCAGAUGUCUGUUGAGUGUUGUAAGUAGAAGAGGGGAUGCCACAGUGGUGAAAAUGGCCUUUUCCCAACUUUUUUGGAAUUUGUUGACACCAAGAAAUUGUGAAACAACAUAUUUUCCCCUUAAAUUGAUACAUUCUCUUAGAUUAAACUUUUGAUCUGUGAUUUGUGUUCUAUUCUGAAUAAAAUAUUCUCCACAUCAUUGCAUUCAGUUUUUAUUCACAAUUUGUUUAGUGUCCAAAUUUUUUGGAAUCCGGUUUGUAUAUAUAUAUAUAUAUAGUGUCGAAGGCGGUUGUGGAAGGUUGAAGAGAAGUGUGAGAGCCGGUCAGGUUCCCACAGUGACCUUUUUACAUGGAUGAAAUACAUACAUAGGUUCUCACAAGGCUUGCAAAUGCGACAGGUGGACAUAAUCCAAGAUGGAAUAACAAAGAGCACCAGGACCCUCUCUAUGAUGUUCAACAAACUCAGGCAAAUGUGCGUCAAAAUUCUGCGAACGUUUUGCAAAAAGAAAGGACAGAAAGUGGGGGGAGCUGACAUCAUUGUUCAGAUUGAUGAGAGCAAGUUCUGCCACAAGCGAUUUAAAAUUUAAUAAAUAAAUUUAUUUAACAUAACUGAAAUCCCAUAGACCAUUUAUUGGUGCUGGUACUGGUUUCUAAAACUGAUAAGUGAUUAAGCCUGCAAUGAGGUACACAAAUUUCCCACAAAUAUUAAUAUGGUUUGGAAUACAUAUUCCAGAACCCCAGAUCAGAAAAAUGCGGAACAGUUCAGAAAAUGCAUAAAACAAAAAAAAAAACUGUUUAUAACAUUUAUUUUGACUUUUAUUUGAUUGCAGACAGUAUGAGCCCAGUACAUUUUAUCUGCU
RNAcentral lists this long non-coding RNA (1198 nucleotides) under Astyanax mexicanus (Mexican tetra). RNAcentral describes it as "lncRNA (ENSAMXG00005010419.1)". The record is from RNAcentral. Lineage: Eukaryota; Metazoa; Chordata; Actinopteri; Characiformes; Acestrorhamphidae.